Molecule: RNA transcript, 4948 nt
Organism: Neoarius graeffei (lesser salmon catfish)
Lineage: Eukaryota; Metazoa; Chordata; Actinopteri; Siluriformes; Ariidae
Gene: prkacba
Gene name: protein kinase, cAMP-dependent, catalytic, beta a
Exons: 11
Source: RefSeq, a predicted model, not a curated record
UUAUUCAUCAGGGCCCUGCAAUAUACAGUCGAUGCACACCGAGCGCAUCAGUCAGUUGUAGGACGGAAAAUUCAGCCAAUGGCCCAUGCGAGGGAUCAAAACUUUGGCCAGUCAAUGGGCACCACCUCUGCUCUCCAAAAGCUGGACACAUUGGCCAGUCGUUUUCUUUUUUACAAACACCGCAAGGGAAACCAUGAUAAAUCACAAGAGAGUGACGGACCGCACGUCUCAGGGUACACCGUCAUUUGGGAUGAAGCAAUGAAAGAAUUUUUAGCCAAAGCCAGAGAGGAUUUCCUGCGGAAGUGGGAGUGUCCACCACAGAGCACAACCUGCCUUGAUGACUUUGAAAGACUGAAAACUCUGGGUACCGGUUCUUUUGGAAGAGUUAUGUUAGUGAAACAUAAAGGAACAGAGCAAUACUAUGCCAUGAAGAUCCUGGACAAGCAAAAAGUGGUGAAGCUGAAACAAAUAGAACACACGUUAAAUGAGAAGAGAAUAUUGCAGGCCGUCUCUUUUCCAUUCCUUGUCAGAUUGGAAUACUCUUUCAAGGACAACUCAAACUUGUAUAUGGUUAUGGAGUAUGUCCCGGGUGGAGAGAUGUUCUCACACCUCAGACGAAUUGGAAGAUUCAGUGAGCACCAUGCCCGGUUCUAUGCAGCUCAGAUCGUGCUUACGUUUGAGUACCUCCACUCGCUAGACCUCAUCUAUAGAGACCUGAAGCCUGAGAAUCUUCUCAUUGAUCAACAUGGAUACAUCCAGGUCACAGAUUUUGGUUUUGCAAAAAGAGUAAAAGGCAGAACUUGGACAUUAUGUGGCACACCAGAAUACCUGGCUCCAGAGAUCAUCCUUAGCAAGGGCUACAAUAAAGCUGUGGAUUGGUGGGCUCUUGGUGUUCUGAUCUACGAGAUGGCCGCAGGUUACCCACCAUUUUUUGCUGACCAGCCAAUCCAGAUAUAUGAGAAAAUAGUAUCUGGAAAGGUACGAUUCCCUUCUCACUUCAGUUCCGAUCUGAAGGACUUGCUUCGAAACCUUCUUCAGGUUGAUCUCACCAAACGCUUUGGCAAUCUAAAAAACGGCGUCAAUGACAUUAAAAACCACAAGUGGUUUGCUACAACAGAUUGGAUCGCUAUUUAUGAAAGAAAGGUUGAGGCUCCCAUCAUACCAAAGUGCAGAGGCCCAGGUGACACGAGCAACUUCGAUGACUAUGAAGAAGAGGAGAUCCGAAUCUCAGACACGGAGAAGUGUGCUAAGGAGUUCAUGGAGUUUUAGUAGGACGAGAGUUCUCAAAGGGCUCUUACAUGUUGGGAUAUUUUUUUCCUUUACUUUGCACUCCUUGAAAGGUGAAAGUGAAGCUCCGACCAUCACGUGUGUUUAGACUGUUUCACGUUUCUUCAUUCCAUGAAGUUGCGAGAGAUUCAUGAGUGCCAUGAUCUCUGUGUGCAAUUUGCACCAAGCUAUAAAUGAUGUUCGGCACGAAAUGCAGUUUCUCUUUUGGGCUGCAACACAAAGCACCAGACACACUCUUAGGUUUUUUUUUUUUUUUUUGUUAGGUUUCUAGCAUCAUUUAUGAAAAAUAUUGUUUUCUUCCUGUAAUUAUUUUUUUAACUGGGAUGAAUGAAGAGGCCACUUUUACUUGUGUUGAAGGAAAUUAUUACUAUUAGUCUGUGAUAAUGCACUUUUUUAAGGAUUGGUGCUGCUUGUUCUUGCCAGCAACAUAUUACAUCAGUUACGUGCUAAAUCAGUUCUUAAGCUUUAUGCUCUUCGUGACAUAUUCACUUCCCGCCUACGUAGAGUGAAUGUGUGUAUGCUUGUGGGUGGUGUGUGUGUGCGUGCGCGCAUGUAUGUGCAAAAAGCCUACAGUAAGAGUAUUCUGAAAGAUGAUGAUUUAUUAUUAUUAUUAAAAUGCAAUUCACAAUAAUAGCCAGAGCAGACAGUAGAAGAAUACAUAUUGAAAUGUUACAUCACUUUUGUGUUUAAUUUCUUGAUGAAGUUGUUAAGAUGCUCGUUACAUUUGUACAAUUGGUGCACCAGCUAGGCCUGUCAUGAUUAUAAAAUUUUGGCUGACAAUUCGCACCCAAAUAAUUACAGUUUACUAUUUCCUUUAAUGCCACUCUUAUAAUAAAAGCAUAACAGGAGUGUAAUUAUGCCCAUAUAGUUGAGGGCAAAACUUUGCAUCUUUCUAGGUUUUAGGAUGCAAAAUGGAUUUAUUUUUAUUUUAUUCAACUCUAAUUUAUCUACAAAUAAAAUAGACUUCCUGAUAAAUUUGUAAAACGAAAUGUUGGUCUAUCCAACAAUAAGACAUCAGUCUAAAAUGCAAGGAAAAUUCUAAAUGAGACAUAAUGUGACAUCUGUUAUAACAUCUAUAUAAAGAACAAAAUUCUUACCAUUCAUUAUUUAACCUUUUCUGUUACGUGGGGUAAUGGAGGCAUGCACUAAAUGGGUUCAUUUUCUUUGGUUUCUCAUAAGGUGAUACAAACUUUUGCACUAGACUGUGCGUCAGCAUUUAUUAACCCUGAGCAUAGAAUGUUUCCUUUGCCUUCUAGACCAUUUAGAAAAUCACAAAGAGAGACAAAGGACAAAUCAAGAAAUGCGUAAACUCGAUGACUGAAAUGCACAAGAAGGUACGAUGGAAUAAUGUACUAUUCAAUAGUAAUCUUAAAUCUUUACACAUUUUAGCAAGUGUUAGUAAAUUUUACAUUAGAAACCCGAGUUAAAGAUUUAAGGAUUAAAGCCUGUGAUUGAGAAUAGUGAUAACGAAAAAUCUAAUUAAAAAUAAUCAGUUGAUUAACUCCUGCUGAAUACAAACAGUAUAUCUUUAUAGAAACGUGGUGGAAUUUAUUUUAUUCCACAGCACUGUUGAAUUCUUGAAUCUGAAGGUCGGUCGAUUUUAAUUUUCUAUAACAGCAGCUCUGAAUGUAGAUGCGACUGUAAUCGAAAUGACAGGUUUGUAUUAUUACACUCAUUCCAAUAUAUUACUAUUUCUAUUUUUGGAGUAACAACCUGUUCAAAGGACUUGGUACCACGAAGUCUGUUAAUAAACGCAUGAAUAAAAAGUGUUGUUAUUUAACAAAGCUAUAUCAUUGUUGAUAUGGUCAGGAUUUCUAUAAGGAUUUGUUUUGUUUAAGGACUCUCAGGUGUCAGCACUUUGUAACGGUCAGUAGCAGGCUUGUAGUACUCGAGUCCAGAACUCAGACUCGAGUCCAACUCGUGCCCUAAUUUUAAGGACUUGUGACUUGACUUGGACUUGAGCACUGAGGACUCGGACUCGUGCAUUAACUGCAUUCGGACUCGUAAAUUGGAGACGAGGACUCUGAUUUUUCUUUAUUUUUGUAACAUGCCAUAAUAAUUUGGCAUAAGAUACUUAUAUCUACAUUAAUUUUUAUACUAAUUUCGUGCAAGAGAAUGCACAUUCACCUGUUCGUACGUCAUGUUCAGGAACAAAGUAACAUUAAUGGCGCUAAAAUGCCUGGAGAGAACGACCCUAGGAUUGUCCGCUUUGCUUAUACAGACUGCUUGUGCAGUGGGGAGAAAAAACUGCACUGCUAUGUUCCAUAUGUAGAAGAACUAUCGAGGAGACGACGGGGACGACCUCGAACUUCAAUCGUCAUUUGGCAAAACUACACCCGGAGAAGUAAGUGAUGCGCUACGUUCAUUGCCCUGUUGAUAGCGGGGCUUGCUUGCUGACUGAUGAACUAGCUAGUGUUAACCCUCUCUCAUGUUAUUUGUCCUGUUGAUAGUGGGCGGGGCUUGUGUCGGACUCGACUCGGAUCAGUAGUGGACUCGACUUGAACACUGGGGACUAGACUAGACUCGGACUCGACACCACUGGUCACUAGGUUUUCCUCCGUGACACAGUCUUCGGGACAAAUUUAACGCAAGUCAGCAAACCUUGUUUUGCAGAUCAUCAACAAUAAAGGUACAAUGUUCUUCAGUAAUUCAAACAUUGCAAUCAUUUGACAAAUUGCGGUCGUACAAAAGAAAUAACCCCCUUUUUUUUUUUACAUUCUGUUUGAGGUAACAGUAAGCCUGCAUUGUACUGGACCACGUUACACAACUACAUCAUUGAUUUGAUUAUUUUUCUACACCAAGUGUUUUAUUCCAUAUUUAUCAUUCGUUCAAAGUCAGUAAGUUUAUUCUGGUCAGUGGAUCUGGAGCCUUUCUGGGAAUAUUCGCCGUGAAGCAGGAAUAGACCGACGCCCUUCUUUUAAUCAGCUGAAAUAAUCUCACGAUUAGGCCAUGAUGUUAAUUAUGACAGGCCUAACACCUGUAUGGGAAAGAAAGACAGACUUUUUAAUCUGUGACUCCACUUCCCCAGUUCACACUGUUACUCUCCUCUACAACCAUCUCCUCAACUGUGGACUGUGCUUUGCUUCAUGUUUUCCUCAUCACCUUGCAUUCCACAAAAUGUUUUAUUUCCUUCAUUCAUUCGAGCACAUGGCUCUCUGUUACCGUAGAUUGCGGCAUUUACAUUCAGCACACACGCAAACGUUAUUUUGCUGACCGAAUUGUGUUUAUCGUUUCAUAUGUCUCUCUCUUUAUGAAGUCUGUUUAUAAAUAUAUGUUAAAGAAAUGACUUAGACAUAUAAUGUUCUAUUCGUUGAAGCCUUCUGACUGACAUUUCUGGAAAAAGUCAUUUUGAAGUUCAUAAAUUUUAGUGGAAGGCGGUGUUUUUGUUUUAUUUGAAUGUUCAGCACUUGAUACUCCCCAAAACAAUAUUUAAAAAAAUAUAUUAUUUAGUAUUUCACUCGUCAGUGUGGGCUCUAGUAUGCAGUGUCUAUGUAUUUAGUUUGUAUGAUAAUUUGCACAGUCAUUUAGAAAGCGUGCCCUUUCCCCCCUGCAUUAUUAGCCUACAUGUAUUUUUAAGGGAUGUGUCCACCUUUUUCGCUGUAGCAUAUUUUAUGUAUUAAAUGAAUACGUCACUGUAACAAAUAAAGGAUAAUGCUUUGUA